AUUGAACGCUGGCGGCAGGCCUAACACAUGCAAGUCGAGCGGAUGAAGGGAGCUUGCUCCUGGAUUCAGUGGCGGACGGGUGGGUAAUGCCUAGGAAUCUGCCCGGCAGAGGGGGAUAACGUCCGGAAACUGGCGCUAAUACCGCAUACGUCCAGAGGGUGAAAGUGGGGGAUCUUCGGACCUCACGCUAUCAGCUGAGCCUAGGUCGGAUUAGCUAGUUGGUGUGGUAAGGGCCUACCAAGGCGACGAUCCGUAACUGGUCUGAGAGGGUGAUCGGCCACACUGGAACUGAGACACGGUCCAGACUCCUACGGGAGGCAGCAGUAGGGAAUAUUGGGCAAUGGGCGAAAGCCUGAUGCAGCAAUGCCGCGUGAGUGAAGAAGGUCUUCGGAUUGUAAAACUCUGUUAGUAGGGAAGAAGGGCAGUGAGUGAAUACCUUGCUGUUUUGACGGUACCAACAGAGUAAGCCACGGCUAACUUCGUG
This 484-nucleotide ribosomal RNA is filed under the name uncultured bacterium. Its description in RNAcentral is "partial 16S ribosomal RNA". It matches the Rfam family "Bacterial small subunit ribosomal RNA", at positions 30 to 507 of the family's 1533-position model. The record is from RNAcentral.